Folsomia candida is the source of this 813-nucleotide long non-coding RNA. RefSeq lists it as uncharacterized. The transcript is spliced from 2 exons. The record is from RefSeq and is a predicted model, not a curated record. NCBI's taxonomy places the organism in Eukaryota, Metazoa, Arthropoda, Collembola, Entomobryomorpha, Isotomidae.
UUAUGGUCUGCUUUUUAGAGGUGUACGUACAUACAUGAAAUGAUUGGAUUGUUCAUCGUCUCUCGUUGACUCUUUGUUAUUAUGCAACAAAAUUGUAGUAGUUCUGGCGAUAUAUGUAUAAUUGCCCUUAGGAAAGGAGUGAAUUAUCAGGUAGUAGUGUUAUUAUUAUACGUAUUGUUGCAUCUUAAUUGGAUUUCUUAUUAGUGCAAUUCUUGAGGUAAUGGACAAUUUCGUGUAAUAUGCAAUUAUCUACAAUUAAGGUAGGAAAACAUUGAAAAAUCGAACACUAUCUUGGAAAAUUACUGCCUUUUUACAGGUAUAAUCUGCCAUUUGUGGUGUGAUGAAUACCUAAUCAAGGUGGGCCAAAUUUACGUAUAUUCAUAAUAAUUAUGGAUAUAGUAGUACGUCGCCCAGCUUGACAGUAGUAAGAUUCACGCAUUGAUCUCUUUAAGCUAUUCAACAUACUUGAAUAGUAAAGAAAUCAGCGAGACCAAUUUGUUAACAAAGUUUUAGUGUGAAAAAAUUUAAUAAAAUUUUAGCAUCCUAAUCAAAAAUCAACUUAUUGAAUGCCGAGAACAUAAAAAUGAAUGAUUACACACGCCUUCAUCAUUUAACAAUGCUGCCAAUUGUUUCGCAUGCCAUUUAUCCAUUAGGAAAUCCUAUGGACAUGAUGAUACACCGUGUGGGAAGAUGUUUUCUUUUAUGUACGACAAAUUGUUAGCGUUGUUAUUUGUUCACAUAAUUUGACUAAUGGCCAGAAUUUGUAAUCGGAUGGACAUUUAAAAUUUGAAUAAUAAAACCAUCAAUCAAUCA